AAUUCACAUAUCCACCAAAUCGACUCUCAACUCCAACCUUAUUGCUCAACAAAAAGAGCAAUUGAUUCCUUCACAGGACUCGCUAGCAUUGACUACACACAAAUGUCCUAGUCCCGGCACGAAUCCGAAACCCUAGCCCAACUACAUCCUCAAACAAAAAACGCAAGGACCAUACCGAAGCGAGUCCAAGAGCUUAGAUCUAGCACAAACCUUCGUU
This is a long non-coding RNA of Rhodamnia argentea, 217 nucleotides long. RefSeq lists it as uncharacterized. The transcript is spliced from 3 exons. The record is from RefSeq and is a predicted model, not a curated record. NCBI's taxonomy places the organism in Eukaryota, Viridiplantae, Streptophyta, Magnoliopsida, Myrtales, Myrtaceae.